GCGCUGUAGUUUACGGCGGCAAAGUGCUUCGCUAGGGCCGAACCGGAGUAGGCGUCGGUCGCAUUCGCGGCGGUGUA
Molecule: transfer RNA, 77 nt
Filed under: compost metagenome
Description: tRNA-Pro
Source: RNAcentral